GUAUUCUUAUGGAGUUAAUAUACAUUUUCUCCUCAGAUAGAAGCGUUAAUCACAAUUAUGCGAAGAACUUAGCUCCACUCUGUUGGUACAGAACUGAACGAAGCCUGAGAUGAGUAUUUGGUGCAUUCCAGAAGAUAGACCAAGACUUGCUUG
This 153-nucleotide long non-coding RNA is filed under the name Chinchilla lanigera (long-tailed chinchilla). RNAcentral describes it as "lncRNA (ENSCLAG00000026619.1)". The record is from RNAcentral. Lineage: Eukaryota; Metazoa; Chordata; Mammalia; Rodentia; Chinchillidae.